Molecule: ribosomal RNA, 440 nt
Filed under: uncultured bacterium
Lineage: Bacteria
Description: partial 16S ribosomal RNA
Rfam family: Bacterial small subunit ribosomal RNA
Source: RNAcentral
CCUACGGGUGGCAGCAGUGGGGGAUAUUGCACAAUGGGGGGAACCCUGAUGCAGCGACGCCGCGUGGGUGAAGGAGCGUUUCGGCGCGUAAAGCCCUAUCGGCAGGGAAGAAGAUGAGGGUACGUGACCAAGAAGCCCCGGCGAACUACGUGCCAGCAACCGCGGUAAUACGAAGUGGGCAAGCGGUCUCCGGAUUUACUGGGUGUAAAGGGGGCGCAGACGGCAAUGCAAGCCUGGAGUGAAAGCCCGGGGCCCAACCCCGGGACUGCUCUUGAAACUGCAUGGCUGGAGUACAGGAGGGGCAAGCGGAAUUCCUAGUGUAGCGGUGAAAUGCGUAGAUAUUAGGAGGAACACCGGUGGCGAAGGCGGCCUGCUGGACUGUGACUGACGUUGAGGCCCGAAGGCGUGGGGAGCAAACAGGAUUAGAUACCCUGGUAGUC